UGGGGAAUAUUGCACAAUGGGCGCAAGCCUGAUGCAGCCAUGCCGCGUGUAUGAAGAAGGCCUUCGGGUUGUAAAGUACUUUCAGCGGGGAGGAAGGCGAUAAGGUUAAUAACCUUGUCGAUUGACGUUACCCGCAGAAGAAGCCCCGGCUAACUCCGUGCCAGCAGCCGCGGUAAUACGGAGGGUGCAAGCGUUAAUCGGAAUUACUGGGCGUAAAGUGCACGCAGGCGGUCUGUCAAGUCGGAUGUGAAAUCCCCGGGCUCAACCUGGGAACUGCAUUCGAAACUGGCAGGCUAGAGUCUUGUAGAGGGGGGUAGAAUUCCAGGUGUAGCGGUGAAAUGCGUAGAGAUCUGGAGGAAUACCGGUGGCGAAGGCGGCCCCCUGGACAAAGACUGACGCUCAGGUGCGAAAGCGUGGGGAGCAAACA
This 427-nucleotide ribosomal RNA is filed under the name uncultured bacterium. RNAcentral describes it as "partial 16S ribosomal RNA". It matches the Rfam family "Bacterial small subunit ribosomal RNA", at positions 355 to 774 of the family's 1533-position model. The record is from RNAcentral.